Molecule: long non-coding RNA, 592 nt
Organism: Diabrotica virgifera virgifera (western corn rootworm)
Lineage: Eukaryota; Metazoa; Arthropoda; Insecta; Coleoptera; Chrysomelidae
Exons: 4
Source: RefSeq, a predicted model, not a curated record
AAUAAAUUAGUUCCUGGUUCUAACACUUCUCUUUUCUCGUCAAAAGCGCUGCGAUCGCUGAUAUUGUUGGCUGGUGUUGAUGUUGAUGGUUGGUGUGAUUAAUAAAUUCGUAAAUGUGUCUUCCAUUCCAAUCAUUUCAAGACCGGUUAAAGGCACAAGAACUAAAAGUGGAUCUACUAUUAAUAAUGGAAAGAACUAUUAAGUUUCUCAAAAAAGAAUCUGUCUAUACAAGGAAUGAUCAUAUUGCAAUACCAUGAUGUUAUGGAGAAGAUAUGCACUGGUUGGGACAGAAUUAAAUAAGUUCUGACACAAUGCAUGAAGAGUCACCAUAUGUAUGAAGCAGCUACUGUAGCAGAAAAGAGACCUCAAAUCAAACCAAAUUGAGAUAGCAGUAAUGUCCAGAUGAAGAGAUAAAAAGAGUUGUUUCCAAAUCCAGGACUAUAUUUUGAAUAUGUGUAACGAUGAAGCAGGACAGUUGUAGCAGAAACUGGAUGAAAUUUUACAAAAAUAGAAUAAAAUGUAUAAAAUUAAUAACAUGUAAAAUAAUACUUUUGUAUAAUAUUCGCUAUUUAUUAAUAAAAGUGUGAAAUAA